GGGUUGUGAGGUUAAGCGACUAAGCGUACACGGUGGAUGCCCUGGCAGUCAGAGGCGAUGAAGGACGUGCUAAUCUGCGAUAAGCGUCGGUAAGGUGAUAUGAACCGUUAUAACCGGCGAUUUCCGAAUGGGGAAACCCAGUGUGUUUCGACACACUAUCAUUAACUGAAUCCAUAGGUUAAUGAGGCGAACCGGGGGAACUGAAACAUCUAAGUACCCCGAGGAAAAGAAAUCAACCGAGAUUCCCCCAGUAGCGGCGAGCGAACGGGGAGGAGCCCAGAGUCUGAAUCAGUGUGUGUGUUAGUGGAAGCGUCUGGAAAGGCGCGCGAUACAGGGUGACAGCCCCGUACACAAAAAUGCACAUACUGUGAGCUCGAUGAGUAGGGCGGGACACGUGGUAUCCUGUCUGAAUAUGGGGGGACCAUCCUCCAAGGCUAAAUACUCCUGACUGACCGAUAGUGAACCAGUACCGUGAGGGAAAGGCGAAAAGAACCCCGGCGAGGGGAGUGAAAAAGAACCUGAAACCGUGUACGUACAAGCAGUGGGAGCCUCUUUUAUGGGGUGACUGCGUACCUUUUGUAUAAUGGGUCAGCGACUUAUAUUCUGUAGCAAGGUUAACCGAAUAGGGGAGCCGAAGGGAAACCGAGUCUUAACUGGGCGUUAAGUUGCAGGGUAUAGACCCGAAACCCGGUGAUCUAGCCAUGGGCAGGUUGAAGGUUGGGUAACACUAACUGGAGGACCGAACCGACUAAUGUUGAAAAAUUAGCGGAUGACUUGUGGCUGGGGGUGAAAGGCCAAUCAAACCGGGAGAUAGCUGGUUCUCCCCGAAAGCUAUUUAGGUAGCGCCUCGUGAAUUCAUCUCCGGGGGUAGAGCACUGUUUCGGCAAGGGGGUCAUCCCGACUUACCAACCCGAUGCAAACUGCGAAUACCGGAGAAUGUUAUCACGGGAGACACACGGCGGGUGCUAACGUCCGUCGUGAAGAGGGAAACAACCCAGACCGCCAGCUAAGGUCCCAAAGUCAUGGUUAAGUGGGAAACGAUGUGGGAAGGCCCAGACAGCCAGGAUGUUGGCUUAGAAGCAGCCAUCAUUUAAAGAAAGCGUAAUAGCUCACUGGUCGAGUCGGCCUGCGCGGAAGAUGUAACGGGGCUAAACCAUGCACCGAAGCUGCGGCAGCGACGCUUAUGCGUUGUUGGGUAGGGGAGCGUUCUGUAAGCCUGUGAAGGUGUGCUGUGAGGCAUGCUGGAGGUAUCAGAAGUGCGAAUGCUGACAUAAGUAACGAUAAAGCGGGUGAAAAGCCCGCUCGCCGGAAGACCAAGGGUUCCUGUCCAACGUUAAUCGGGGCAGGGUGAGUCGACCCCUAAGGCGAGGCCGAAAGGCGUAGUCGAUGGGAAACAGGUUAAUAUUCCUGUACUUGGUGUUACUGCGAAGGGGGGACGGAGAAGGCUAUGUUGGCCGGGCGACGGUUGUCCCGGUUUAAGCGUGUAGGCUGGUUUUCCAGGCAAAUCCGGAAAAUCAAGGCUGAGGCGUGAUGACGAGGCACUACGGUGCUGAAGCAACAAAUGCCCUGCUUCCAGGAAAAGCCUCUAAGCAUCAGGUAACAUCAAAUCGUACCCCAAACCGACACAGGUGGUCAGGUAGAGAAUACCAAGGCGCUUGAGAGAACUCGGGUGAAGGAACUAGGCAAAAUGGUGCCGUAACUUCGGGAGAAGGCACGCUGAUAUGUAGGUGAAGUCCCUUGCGGAUGGAGCUGAAAUCAGUCGAAGAUACCAGCUGGCUGCAACUGUUUAUUAAAAACACAGCACUGUGCAAACACGAAAGUGGACGUAUACGGUGUGACGCCUGCCCGGUGCCGGAAGGUUAAUUGAUGGGGUCAGCGCAAGCGAAGCUCUUGAUCGAAGCCCCGGUAAACGGCGGCCGUAACUAUAACGGUCCUAAGGUAGCGAAAUUCCUUGUCGGGUAAGUUCCGACCUGCACGAAUGGCGUAAUGAUGGCCAGGCUGUCUCCACCCGAGACUCAGUGAAAUUGAACUCGCUGUGAAGAUGCAGUGUACCCGCGGCAAGACGGAAAGACCCCGUGAACCUUUACUAUAGCUUGACACUGAACAUUGAGCCUUGAUGUGUAGGAUAGGUGGGAGGCUUAGAAGUGUGGACGCCAGUCUGCAUGGAGCCGACCUUGAAAUACCACCCUUUAAUGUUUGAUGUUCUAACGUUGACCCCUAAUCGGGGUUGCGGACAGUGUCUGGUGGGUAGUUUGACUGGGGCGGUCUCCUCCUAAAGAGUAACGGAGGAGCACGAAGGUUGGCUAAUCCUGGUCGGACAUCAGGAGGUUAGUGCAAUGGCAUAAGCCAGCUUGACUGCGAGCGUGACGGCGCGAGCAGGUGCGAAAGCAGGUCAUAGUGAUCCGGUGGUUCUGAAUGGAAGGGCCAUCGCUCAACGGAUAAAAGGUACUCCGGGGAUAACAGGCUGAUACCGCCCAAGAGUUCAUAUCGACGGCGGUGUUUGGCACCUCGAUGUCGGCUCAUCACAUCCUGGGGCUGAAGUAGGUCCCAAGGGUAUGGCUGUUCGCCAUUUAAAGUGGUACGCGAGCUGGGUUUAGAACGUCGUGAGACAGUUCGGUCCCUAUCUGCCGUGGGCGCUGGAGAACUGAGGGGGGCUGCUCCUAGUACGAGAGGACCGGAGUGGACGCAUCACUGGUGUUCGGGUUGUCAUGCCAAUGGCACUGCCCGGUAGCUAAAUGCGGAAGAGAUAAGUGCUGAAAGCAUCUAAGCACGAAACUUGCCCCGAGAUGAGUUCUCCCUGACUCCUUGAGAGUCCUGAAGGAACGUUGAAGACGACGACGUUGAUAGGCCGGGUGUGUAAGCGCAGCGAUGCGUUGAGCUAACCGGUACUAAUGAACCGUGAGGCUUAACCUUACAACGCCGAAG
Molecule: ribosomal RNA, 2925 nt
Filed under: Escherichia coli
Lineage: Bacteria; Pseudomonadati; Pseudomonadota; Gammaproteobacteria; Enterobacterales; Enterobacteriaceae
Description: 23S ribosomal RNA
Rfam family: Bacterial large subunit ribosomal RNA
Source: RNAcentral